UGCAAGUAGCCUCUGCUCCACCGCCUCUUCACCUGCAAGCAUUAAACGAGAGUGGACAGAAAGCAAAUAGCAUGUAAAUGGCUAUUUAAAGCCAAAUCUAAAACCUUUGUACAUUCGGCACAAAAGAGAAAUGAAAAAGGAAGCAUUUUGAUUUUAAAACAAAAAAUCAGUGAUUCAAAAAACACAAACCAGCCAAUCGAAGAAAAAAACUAAAU
This 215-nucleotide long non-coding RNA is filed under the name Gossypium barbadense (sea-island cotton). RNAcentral describes it as "long non-coding RNA (GBAR_LNC000233)". The record is from RNAcentral. Lineage: Eukaryota; Viridiplantae; Streptophyta; Magnoliopsida; Malvales; Malvaceae.